RNAcentral lists this ribosomal RNA (182 nucleotides) under Eyprepocnemis plorans meridionalis. Its description in RNAcentral is "partial 18S ribosomal RNA". It matches the Rfam family "Eukaryotic small subunit ribosomal RNA", at positions 1656 to 1831 of the family's 1831-position model. Lineage: Eukaryota; Metazoa; Arthropoda; Insecta; Orthoptera; Acrididae. The record is from RNAcentral.
GCUUUUGUACACACCGCCCGUCGCUACUUACCGAUUGAAUGAUUUAGUGAGGUCUUCGGACUGGUACGCGGCAUCGACUCUGUCGUUGCCGAUGCUACCGGAAAGAUGACCAAACUUGAUCAUUUAGAGGAAGUAAAAGUCGUAACAAGGCUUCCGUAGGUGAACCUGCGGAAGGACCAUUA